Molecule: long non-coding RNA, 578 nt
Filed under: Bos taurus (domestic cattle)
Lineage: Eukaryota; Metazoa; Chordata; Mammalia; Artiodactyla; Bovidae
Description: long non-coding RNA NONBTAT016710
Source: RNAcentral
AGAGGGUAGGGGUAUGGAAAAAGAUUAAAAUGAAAAAUAAACUUGAAACAUACCUAGCAGAAAGCACAUUUGAUUUGAAAGAUUCUUUCCAUUUCAAUUCUCUGUGGGCCUAUUCAUAACAGAGAUAUGGUUACUUAAAAUACAAUUUCUGCGCUGGCUGGUUGAGUCUCUUGAAAAAUGCCUUCCAUGUUUUCCCAAGCCCUCACUUCAACUUCACCACAAAAUUCCUGAACAACAUCUCCAACAGCACCAGCUGAACUCAAGCAGAGUAAUUCUGAAACCUAGUGACACCCCUAAGAGGUGUUGACGCUUGGGCUCACAGAUGCCAGAUUUCAGUUCUUUCUUUUCCCUGCCACCCGACUUCCUACCCCCGACACAUACACACUCCCAAGAUCUCAGAAGGCGUAAAUGUUUUAGGAAAAAAAAAAAAUGACUCUGGUAUUGAUUGAGUCAAGCAGACUAGUAACAAGUUCUCUUUAAAAUACAUACUCAAACUGUGACAAUUCUGUUUAGUGUGGUUUAAACUUUUUUUAAAAAAAUAAUUGAAUCUUUAAAGCAAGAACAGUUUUAAAUUCCCU